This 75-nucleotide transfer RNA is filed under the name Ginkgo biloba (maidenhair tree). RNAcentral's name for it is "tRNA-Pro". It matches the Rfam family "tRNA". Rfam says of the family: Transfer RNA (tRNA) molecules are approximately 80 nucleotides in length. Lineage: Eukaryota; Viridiplantae; Streptophyta; Ginkgoopsida; Ginkgoales; Ginkgoaceae. The record is from RNAcentral.
CAAGGUGUAGCGCAGUCUGGUUAGCGCAUCUGUUUUGGGCACAGAGGGCCAUAGGUCCGAAUCCUGCCACCUCGA